Molecule: long non-coding RNA, 498 nt
Organism: Limulus polyphemus (Atlantic horseshoe crab)
Lineage: Eukaryota; Metazoa; Arthropoda; Merostomata; Xiphosura; Limulidae
Exons: 2
Source: RefSeq, a predicted model, not a curated record
UUUCCUUAACGUUUUUUAGAUAUACUUUUGCCGAUGUUCACAGCUAAUUUUAUUGGUAUAGCUUUCAGUAGGUCUCUACACUACCAGUUUUAUGUGUGGUAUUUCCACACAUUACACUAUCUUCUGUGGUGUACCACUCUCAAAACCACAGUCAAAUUAUGCCUGUUGGGUGUCGUUGAGCUGUGUUGGAACACUUUCCCUUCUACUCCAUGGAGCAGUUCGUUGUUACAGCUGUGUCAUGCGGUACUACUUGUCAGUUUGUGGAGGAUUAAUAGCUAUGUAUACCCAUCAACGGAGAAGCAACAACAGUAAUAUUAAAAGUUUGUUGUAUGUGUGUGAACACACUGAUAUUGAGAAAUUUAAAAUAUGAAACUAUUAAUUUAUACAUGCACGUCAAACCCAAUGAACUACACAACAAAACAAGAUUCAAACGUUGAAUUCUGAUUUGUUUUACCCCUAAAACAAACACCAAAAAUAAAAUAUAUUUUUUAUCUAGUC